Non-coding RNA from Coturnix japonica (Japanese quail), 7905 nucleotides. Lineage: Eukaryota; Metazoa; Chordata; Aves; Galliformes; Phasianidae. The record is from RefSeq and is a predicted model, not a curated record.
UGUGAGCUCAUGGUGUUCUCAUCUUUUCCUGCGGGCUGUAUCUCCCCAGGUGAGAUGAACCUGUGGUUACCUGCCCACGGCGCCGCUCUGUGUGCCCUGGCUAAUCAUUAAACGUGUUUGUGUGACCCUUGACACCACAAGUGAGAACAAACUGGGUGUGUGAGGUGCAUAUCCCUCAUCGACACGCUGCUGCUGGGGGUUUGGGCACUGAUGUGUGCUGUCAGAGGGGCUCGUGAUGCAGCUGCAAGUUCUCCUGGCUGUUAGCUGAAGUUCAGCUGAUGCGCUUUGGUGGGUGCAGCCUGUCCGUCAGCAUGACCUUGCCAUGUGUUUAAUACUUGUUGUGACAUAAUUGCUUUAUAGGCGCUUAGCUGUUCUCUUAAUAAACAGCGCUCUGUGACUAUUGAUGCUCACCGCUUCCUGUGUACUCUGUGUCCUUCCAUCCAUGUUUCUCUGACUUGUUAUUAGUGUAAAAGUUGAAUGCUCUGCUUUUCCUCUUUUCAUCUUUUUUGCUUGAUGUGAGCAGUCUAUGGGCUUCUGGGCGAUAACAGCUCUGGUUCUGUGACAUGAUGCCAUUUAGGAAGUAUGUUGAAAGUGUUGAGCGCGCAGCAAAAGUCUUUUAUAUCAACGCAGCCUUGGGAGGAGGAGAUGUUUUUCUAUGUAUAGAAACUUCCCAUAUAGGAUGGUGAGGGAAGGCUGCAAGGGGGUUGCCUGUCUCUUUAAGUGGGUUUAUAAUUGGCCAGGAAUUUUUGUCAGCUUAGUCACUGCAGCAUUCAGCGGAUGAGGGAAAAAAACCACAGGCCCCAACCGUUACAGCCGUGGAUAGGCUCUGUCAUCCCAAAGGAAUGCAUGUGAACAAAACACUUUGUGCGGUGCAACGGUUGGCCUAAACAGUAUUGCAUUCUUAGAGCGGGCUCUGAGUCACAUGGAGCAGAUGGAUUGUUUCGCUAAAAUGGAAGUUAUGUAUCAGAGAGCACCGGACGGAGCUCGUAAGCGCGGUUCAGAGAGGUCAUGAUGUGGGUGUGGCAAAGGGGUGGAAAGGUAAAAGGAGGAAAAAGAGAAAAAAGAGAAGGAAUGCCCUUGUUGUUUGGUGAAAAUGGCUUCCGUGGCAUGAUAAGGGCGGGAGGAUGCUUUGUGCUGUUAAUUACAGGGCUGGCACGCGGCUGUGAAGACUUCUCCCUGGACAAGAGACAAGUAUGGUGUUAAUUCCGAGGCCUUCGUGGUCCUCAGAUGUGCGGUGCCGGGAAGCCUCGUGCUGCACGAGGUCAUCCAGAGAAACUGCUGUUGGUGGGAAAACAUGCCAAGCCAACAACAGCAAAAGCCCAACACCAAAGUGGAGCCCAGCCCUGCAGUCUGUGGUCAUGGUGCUGCUGCUCAGCACCUCCUGCUCUGUGCUCACCCCUCUCCAUCCCGCAGCCUCUCCAGCACACCUUGAGUUGGUCAGUGACAGUCAGCUCUGUCUCUUUGGGUGGCGUUUCCCAUCGUUUGGUUUUAUCUUUUCCUCAAAGAGAUCAGCAAUAACUUCCCAGGAGCAGUGCCCACCUCCAGCCCUAAAGUGUGGAGAGGAGAAGCUGCGACUUCUGGCUGAACCAGUUCAGAAUUGUGGAUGUUUUUAUGUUUGGUGGGGGAUUCUCUGAAGGAGCCCUUGUAGGCCAAGUGUUUCACCUGCAGUGCGUGGGGGAGGCUGUAUGGACAUCAGAGCUGGCUGUUUGCACCAAGCACGGUGUACAACUGAGGUUGUGAUGCACUGUCUGCACUGUCUUCAGUCGUUGGAGAGCCUGGGGCAGAGUGGUGAUGGUGAGCCUGGCAGCAUUCAGUGCUUCCUCCUCCCAGAACAGCCACCUUUUAUUAAGGAGAAAUACAUGAAAGCAUCAGAGUUCAGAGUUCUUAGUAUUACACCCACAGCGGUGCGCUCGUGUUGCUGGGACCAGCAGCACCUGCACCUGAACACUUUAAGCACAUCUAACAAGCCAAAUCUGUAUUAUGUUUAUUCAGUGAAACCGUGUGGUGAGAAGUGAAGCUCUUUAUGUGCUGAGAGGUCUGCAGCAUCUGACCGGGACACAGGGGUGCUGCUGGGAUGAGCACCUUCAGCAGGCAGCAGGCCUCUGUUCUGCCCUGUUGUCCCAGUCAUUAUUCCAGUAUCCAGGGGAGACUGACACUGGUGUGCACAGCUCUGUCUUGCCUCAUUAAACACAAUGCCUUUAAGCAGUAGGGUGUUUUGUUUUGUUUUGUUUUUUUUCUUAACGAAUCAUCCCCACCCCCCAGAUCUUACUAGAAGAACUUGAAAUAAAACGAGUCUCCCUGUUUGUGUUCUUGGCAGCAGCAGUGACUAUGGCAAUAACUUGCUGGGCUUCUUGCAGGCCUUACUCCUGUGUUCUUUGGAAGCUCUUUGCCUGUCCUGUCCUCCUUGCAUUGUGCUGUGUGGAGCUGGGAUCCUUCCUGCUGCUGCUUGUCGCCUCUUUCCGGAGCAGCACUGACGCGAUCUGCCUGUCUGUUGCAUUCUGCUGCUGCUUGGUAAACUAAUGAGCAGAGGCACUGCAGCUGCCAGCAGGAAUUCCUUUCCAGCAGUUUUGUGAGAAAAGUCAGCAGGAUUAGGGCUUGGUUAAAACUUGAUGUUUCAGCAGAUCUGCUAUGCAAACCAUUUGGAUGAGGGAGAGAGCAACCAGAGUGGCAACCAACUUUGCUUGAGGCAGGAGAGAACUGUGGGAACAAGAAGGAGACGGUCUUGUUCUCAACAGACUGUAGAGCCGCUCAGAUGUGAGCAGCUUGGCAUGCUUGAAUAUAUAUGUAUAUAUUAUAUGCCUCUUUUCUGGAACAGCGCUCUGAGCUGCCCUCUGUCCUGGCUUAGAGGCAGCAAUUAUUUCAGAAGCCUUUCUGAGUGGCUGCUCUGAUGUUUUGCUGUCAGAGGUGCCAGAUCAUGCACCAGAUCUCGGCUUUGCAGCACCUCCCUUGGUAUCUGUCUAGGGAAGGAGCACUGGGGCACCUCCCAAGUAUUUAAAAAUAGAAAUAAACAUCUCAUGCUCUUUCUUCCUUCCUUGAUUAAAUUUGUAGGGUUUGUGUUGGGCUUGUUUUGGUUUGUGUGGGUAAAUGGGUGUGUCUCGUGCAUGGUAAAAGAAAUUGCAGGAAAGUCAGAGUCAAAGGAUUAUGUUCAUGCAUUAGUUUAGAAGCCACAAGGUCUUUGAUGGUUCUGCUUUCUGGGUCACUUUGCUGGGUUCUGCUGUUCUAACCGCUAAGAUUGAAUGUGUUUGUUUUGGUUCCCGGUGAUGGGUGUAAUGUGGUUGCGAGGGGAGGCCUCCAUCCCGGCAGUGAGAGGUCAUCUGUGGCCAUGGCAUGUGGGGGUCUGGCAUGGGACCUUGGUCUGUGCCCCCUGGAAGAGCAGAUACGGGAGGUGGAUCUCAUCCUCCUGCUGGCUGCAAAUAGCAGCUUUCUAGGAUGUAGGAAUUACAAGUCUAGCAGCUGCAGUAACCAACAGAGGAAGAGUCACAGAUGUGAUUAUGGUAACAUACUGCUUAAGUAAAAUUAGAUGUGGGAAUCGAACUUGUUUUUAAUUUUCUUGUUGUCUCAAGUGCUUUUUGUGCUACUUGUUUUUUCCAUUCUUGCGAGGCAGGUGUGGUUUUACCUUUUUAAUGUAGUGCAGUAAUGAAUGCUUGAACUUCUGUGCGUAGCUGUGGAAGAUGAGCUUGUCAGAACUAACAAAAACACAGCGUUUGGUUUGUGCUGCUGUGGGAGCUGUUGGGCCGCCCAGAGGCGAGCGAUGAACCAGUUGGGCAUGGAGCAGCCACUGGUUUAGCAAGGCAUGGAUGGAAGCUGGUGGUUGCAAACUAGUUUCUUGUGCUCUGUGACGCCUGGGCCGAGCUGCCUUAACUCUGUGAGGGGAUUGUUUCUCCAAGUGACUUCCAGUUAAAUCAUUAUCUGGGUUCAGAAUGAAUCUUUUGUUUGUGGUGUUCUGUCUCCAGGUGACCAGAGUGUUCCUGAGGGUUGGGUCGUGUAUGCAUGUCCUUUGGAGGAUCUCUGUUGAUACCUUAGUCUGCUUUCUCACUACUUAUUGUGCAGAAAGAGGGUGUGGUUAGAGCAGACUGCCCGUUCCUGUACUCCCAGUCCUGAAAACAAACAGCAGCAACAGAAGCGGGGAAGCAAAACAACACGCCGAGGAGAUGGAGCGAGCGCUUUACAAGCAGCGGUGGGGCCCCAUGUGCGCUGUGAGCCGCUCCAGGCGCUGCCGCCGCAGCCCAGCAGCGUGUCGGCAUGAGGCACCUCGAGGGGGAAGGCGAGGGUGGCCUGUUUCUGCCCUUUGUAUGUGUGUGGGAAGAGGAAUGACACGCCGUUUGGCUUUCCGUUCGGCUUCAUAAACCCGCAGCUCCCCACACUUGCUCUGAGGACGCUUGUUUACUGUGAGAGCAGAGAUUUUGUCACCGCUCGCGUCCCCGAGCGAGGUUCCUCCUGGCUCCGCUGGAGCUGGCUGUGCCUGGAAGGAGGGAGGGAGGGAGGCAGCGGUGCUGUGCCCUCUUGUUUUUCUCUCAAGCAGGAAGAAAAGCUGAGGAGCCUGUCCUCCUCCUCUGAGUCAGCUGUGGUUAUGGUUUGCUGAGUAGGCGUGAGUGUUUUGAAGGGAAAAGCGGCUUCCAAUUAAGGCAGCUCAACACUGCGCCCAAAUGAGUUUGGGGAAGCUUCCCCUCCCUCCCUCGCACACACUCCUGUUGGAGCUGACAGGUUGGGGGAAAACUGAUUUAUGAUGAUCAUAAAAACUAUUGUACGCGUCUGGUAACUCUCCAGCCAAAUGGGAAAACAGGUUUUGAGCCCUGUUGAGCUUUUCCACGUUGAUGGCUGUUAGCACAAAGCUGAUGCUCUGGGCCCCGGGGAGCAGGUGGUACAAGGGAGUCGGGAAGUGCCCUGUGAUGAAAGAGAAGAACAAAUGAGAAGGGAUGCUGUGGGGUUCCUAUAGGAAUCCAGAAGCAUAAAAAACUGAUCUGAGAGUUGGCAGGUGAAUGCAUGAAGCAGCUCCUUGAGAGUGAUAAAGAGGAAGCCAGUUCCACUGCCGUUGUUUGGCCUUUCAUCGUCACACACGCAGGAAAAUCAUUUACUUGAGAACGUCCAUCAAAAGAACCUGAUACACGAAUGUUUGUCUUGAGCAAGUGCUUUAAGAGUGCGUGACGCUUGAAAGCAGUGAAUAGGCUGUUGAUAGCAGUUGGGUGCUACGGGAGAGUGAGAACCGACCUCAGUUGGCACCGGUUCUUUCCAUAGGCAAACAAGCACGGGCUCUGUAAGGUGUCCUGCUUCUCUGUUCCAGUUAUAGCUGUGGAAAGUACGGGGACAUUUCACUGAGCCACACACAGGUACUUCCUCAUCAGAUGAUGCCCGCAGUCUCACUCAUCAGUAUAAGGUGAAAAUGGUGGUGAUGAGUGGACUGACAGGGCAGUGUGUAGAUGGGAGGUGCAGGAGCAGCAGUGCCCACGUGGCUGCUGGGCUGGGUGGGGGCACUCAGUCACCAGUGGGUGCUGGCUUGAGUUAUGCAGUGUUUUGCAGAGGAGCCUGGCUCCUAAUCACAUGCCUUCUGAUGCUACUAUUUGCUAUCAGUACAGCUGGAAUAGAUAAUGCUUUGUUUCUGUCCUUAGUUGCCAUAUCUUUGCUAGCGGAAAUAGCCUGCUCUUAUUUUUGAGGGAGAUGGAAACUGCUUUACUCUGCUAUUCUUUUUGUAUCUUUUCCUUUUUCCUGCCAAGAUGAGCAUAAUGUGAUUUGUAGUGGUUACUUUCUGGACAAAGCGAUCUGCGAUGAAAGCUAAAUGACUCUGUUUUGCCAGCAUCUGGAGUUCCAAGUUUCUUUGUAUCAUUUUGUUUUGCUCUUUUGUACGGACUUUGAUCACAUUGAAGUUGCAAGAAAGUAACAUAAUGGUGUUUAAGUGGAAGAGGAAAGUAUAAAAGCUGUUUCACUUGUCAUGAGCCCGUGCUCUGCCUGGGUAGUGAGCUUCCAGCUGACUCCCAUGGCAAAAGUAAAUACCGAAAAAUAAGAAGUACGUGGGCUUCAUGGCUGGGUGCAGAGUUAAUAUUUGUAAUGAAUUCCAAAUGGAAGCUCCUCCCCACUUUCUGGUUCGUGGUGAACAAGUUAUGAAGGGUUGUCUUUGGUCUUGGUGAAUUGUUGAGUUUUGAGACUGUGUUUCUUCUUAGCAGAUGUGGGUGCCUGCAGUUUGCAGGUCUUGUGUCUUGCACCGGAGGCCGUAAGGGAGCUGUGCAGUGCUGGCUCGUGCUCUUUGGGUACCUGUGGGGUGGGUGUUCUUUGGACCAGCAGGACAAAAUUGGGUCUCUGUGCUGGUGGGCAGUGCUGAGGAUUGAAAUGGUGUUCAGAUUGUAAUUAAUUGUCUUGUUUUCUAUAUAGAAAAUAUCAUAAGUAGAAGAACACAUUCGUCUUUAUAAAUCAUAGCUCUUCACUUGUUUUUGUGGUGUGUCAAAAAGGCUUGAUACGCUUCUGGUACUGAAGGGAAUGGGACACUGCAGAGGUUCAAAGGGUGAUCCCACACUGCAGAACUCUUUGCGGUCUGCACAUGUUUCAUACACCUUGUAGGCUGUCUGAAGGCUUCCAGCAUCUGGUACCAGAAUGCUGAUUUUGGGGCAGGCACACAGGUUAAAGAAAAUCAACAAGGUGCUAAACAGGCACUGUCCCUCCAUUGGUCUCCUGUUCUCAUACAGUUUAGGUGCGCUGAAGAGAGAAUGUGUUCUGCCCAGCAGAUCAGGCGUGUUUUCUACCUCCUUGCCGAAAAGCUGCCCAAGGUGAAGGUGAUGUACGCAGGAGUUCACAACUACGGUUCUGGUCCAAGAAUCUUCUGCCUGUUCUGUAAUGGAAACUGUUCCAGAAAUGUGAAUGGCAGCCAUGCUCACAGACAACAGAAACCUUCUCCUGCGGAGCUUCUGGCUCCCACCAUCACUGGAGCCUGGGAUCUGCCCUGGUGAUCACACCUGGGGGGACAGCAGCUCCAAAUGACUUUCAGCACAUGCUCGUGGGACUUGUUCCAGCAAAUACACUUCAGACUUACACAAGCAAUUGUUGAAAUAUUUUACCAAGAGUUAUUCUGGGAAGAGCUGCCGGCUGUGGUCUGUUUGAUAACGUUAUGCCUGUUUUCAGAGGGCACGCCUGUGGGGAAAUGCUGUCUUCAGGGCUGUGGAAUGGCAGGACUGGAACCUGAGAAGUGGUGUGGGUGGGGUAGGGGCACAUUUCCUUUAUUUUCUGAGUAACUUUUUUAAUGAGAUGCUGCUGAUUAAGAUAUACUUUAUUUUUGGACUGAGCAUUAAUGUCUUACUGCAUUGUUUUGGUAGACGGGCACAUCUGGGUGGGUCAGAUGUGGCAAUAAUUGCCACAGUUUGGAAACUUGGUUUUCUCCUGAGAUGUGUGAGAGCUGAUGGUUCACUGCAGAGGAUCUUGCAUCAUCUCCCAGCCUUAUGUGGGCAUUCUGAUGGGCGAGCAGGAUUGUGUCAAAUACCACUGAAUUAUCUGCUCCUUUAAUCUGUCUGUAAGUUUCAAUUUGUUUUUAUUCAGGGCCUUUUUUUUCCCCCCUCUCUCUCUGGUCUAGAGAGAAAAUAGCUCCAGUGAUAAGACAUAGCUGGCAUUUGGGGUCAGUUCUGCAAUGCACGUGGGUUAUUUUUCCUAUAGUGUGAAUAUGAUCCUUCCUUUCUUAGUGUAAAAAUGAACAAAUGAGAGCAGGGCAGGCUUUCUUUUCCUGCCUGUGAGCUGCUCUCAAUUGCACGCUGUUGGCUGUGGGCCCCUUCGGAUGUUGAGGAGAAUGGAAGAGAAUUAUUUGUCAUCUUUUGCAUUGUCCAGUUAUUCUAACUUGGGAAUAAGGAACCGCUUUCUUGUGCGCGUUACUUAUCUUGGGAAGUUGGCUGUAAAAUAAGUCUUUUAUUAAAUCACUUUGUAAGAAGUGGA